RNAcentral lists this transfer RNA (65 nucleotides) under Dipodomys ordii (Ord's kangaroo rat). It matches the Rfam family "tRNA". From Rfam's summary of the family: Transfer RNA (tRNA) molecules are approximately 80 nucleotides in length. Their secondary structure includes four short double-helical elements and three loops (D, anti-codon, and T loops). Lineage: Eukaryota; Metazoa; Chordata; Mammalia; Rodentia; Heteromyidae. The record is from Rfam by way of RNAcentral.
GGUGGCUCAGUGGUAGAGUACUUGCCUUGCAUGCAUGAGGCCCUGGGUUUGAAUCCUCAGCACCA